UGGAGAGAGACAAACUCCUACUGGCAUCAUUGGAAUAUGUGCAUUCAACCAUGCUUGAAGACAAGAAGUCUUCUAAGAUAUGUGCCAGUUUAAAUAGAGGAAUCUAUCUCGUGCACAGCAAUUAGCAUGUCACUCCUCUGACCAGAAACCUUCAUUGGUUCUCUUUUGCUUGCAAAGCAAAGUCCAGAUUCCUGAACCAGUGUUGCCAUGACUUCAGAGUGACCACAGAGCAGGCCAUGAGUACGCGUCCUUCCAUUACGGGAAGAAGGUGGGGAGAAGAGGAAGAAAAAGCCAACAAGAAGAAAAACAACUAUAUUGUACUUCCUGAGCAGGAACAGGCUGUGGUUUUGUACAAAAUUUGCAGUGAAGAACAAGUCAUACAGAUAAUAAUAAAUAGCAAACAAUAGGAUGUGUGUGUUAAUACACACCAACUUUUUCAGCCCUCACCCCCACUCUCUGAAGCAGAUCCUGAUUAUCUCCCCUUUAACUGAGGAAGCUGAGGCAAGAGAGGAGAAGUAAUGUGCCCAAAACAACACAGCUAGAAAGUGGCAGAGACUGGAUCCUGUGGAAUAUGCAUGUCAUUAUACAGAUCUUAUGUUUCAGUAGUUUCAAAAUGUCCUGUCCUUAAGCUCAGGUGCCAGACAUGUCGCUGAUUUCAGUAUCUGUUUGGGAAACCCAAGAAAUAUCAUUUUCUUCCAUAGCUCCAAUGAUCCACCCACUCCUGGGGCAUUUUUGCACACUUCUGCCAUGAUCACACUUCUGCUGAGGUGAUCAGGUACAGUGUGUGUGC
Neogale vison (American mink) is the source of this 790-nucleotide long non-coding RNA. RefSeq lists it as uncharacterized. The record is from RefSeq and is a predicted model, not a curated record. Lineage: Eukaryota; Metazoa; Chordata; Mammalia; Carnivora; Mustelidae. The transcript has 3 exons.